ACGAACGCUGGCGGCGUGCUUAACACAUGCCAGUCGAACGCUGAAGCUUGGUGCUUGCACUGGGUGGAUGAGUGGCGAACGGGUGAGUAAUACGUGAGUAACCUGCCCUUGACUCUGGGAUAAGCCUGGGAAACUGGGUCUAAUACUGGAUACGACAUGUCACCGCAUGGUGGUGUGUGGUAAGGGUUUUACUGGUUUUGGAUGGGCUCACGGCCUAUCAGCUUGUUGGUGGGGUAAUGGCUCACCAAGGCGACGACGGGUAGCCGGCCUGAGAGGGUGACCGGCCACACUGGGACUGAGACACGGCCCAGACUCCUACGGGAGGCAGCAGUGGGGAAUAUUGCACAAUGGGCGGAAGCCUGAUGCAGCGACGCCGCGUGAGGGAUGACGGCCUUCGGGUUGUAAACCUCUUUCAGCACGGAAGAAGCGAAAGUGACGGUACGUGCAGAAGAAGCGCCGGCUAACUACGUG
RNAcentral lists this ribosomal RNA (471 nucleotides) under uncultured bacterium. RNAcentral describes it as "partial 16S ribosomal RNA". It matches the Rfam family "Bacterial small subunit ribosomal RNA", at positions 29 to 507 of the family's 1533-position model. The record is from RNAcentral.